GACGAACGCUGGCGGCGUGCCUAAUACAUGCAAGUCGAACGCACUCUCGUUUAGAUUGAAGGAGCUUGCUCCUGAUUGAUAAACAUUUGAGUGAGUGGCGGACGGGUGAGUAACACGUGGGUAACCUGCCCUAAAGUGGGGGAUAACAUUUGGAAACAGAUGCUAAUACCGCAUAAAACCUAAACACCGCAUGGUGUAGGGUUGAAAGAUGGUUUCGGCUAUCACUUUAGGAUGGACCCGCGGUGCAUUAGUUAGUUGGUGAGGUAAAGGCUCACCAAGACCGUGAUGCAUAGCCGACCUGAGAGGGUAAUCGGCCACACUGGGACUGAGACACGGCCCAGACUCCUACGGGAGGCAGCAGUAGGGAAUCUUCCACAAUGGACGAAAGUCUGAUGGAGCAACGCCGCGUGAGUGAAGAAGGUUUCGGAGUCGUAAAACUCUAGUUGUUGGAGAAGAAUGUAUCUGAUAGUAACUGAUCAGGUAGUGACGGUAUCCAACCAGAAAGCC
Molecule: ribosomal RNA, 507 nt
Filed under: uncultured bacterium
Lineage: Bacteria
Description: bacterial SSU rRNA
Rfam family: Bacterial small subunit ribosomal RNA
Source: RNAcentral